GAUAAGGGGCUGAGACAGAGGAGUUGAGUGACUAGCCCAAUGUCCCAGAGCAAAUAGGUGGUAGCCCCAGAAUUCCAGCAGCGGUCCUCCACAUCAGAGCCCCAGCUCUCUUCCUUUAUCCAGAUCCUGCCAGCCAAAAACUAUGUAGACAAAUAGCUGCAUCUGCUCCAUCUCAGGAUACAAAACAGCAAGUGUGAAAAGAUACAGAAAGAAGAGCAAUUCUGGCUGGGUCAUAUCACCUCUGGAGCCUUAACUAUGGAUCAAGUGAAUUUAAACAAUCUCUUAAAUAAAUCAUGGAGGUGCUACUUACUUUCUU
Cervus elaphus (red deer) is the source of this 316-nucleotide long non-coding RNA. RefSeq lists it as uncharacterized. Lineage: Eukaryota; Metazoa; Chordata; Mammalia; Artiodactyla; Cervidae. The record is from RefSeq and is a predicted model, not a curated record. The transcript is spliced from 3 exons.